GCUCAGAUUGAACGCUGGCGGCAGGCCUAACACAUGCAAGUCGAGCGGCAGCGACAUAGACAAUCCUUCGGGUGCGCUUAUGGGCGGCGAGCGGCGGACGGGUGAGUAAUGCCUGGGAAUAUGCCCUGAUGUGGGGGAUAACCAUUGGAAACGAUGGCUAAUACCGCAUAAUCUCUUCGGAGCAAAGAGGGGGACCUUCGGGCCUCUCGCGUCAGGAUUAGCCCAGGUGAGAUUAGCUAGUUGGUGAGGUAAGAGCUCACCAAGGCGACGAUCUCUAGCUGGUCUGAGAGGAUGAUCAGCCACACUGGAACUGAGACACGGUCCAGACUCCUACGGGAGGCAGCAGUGGGGAAUAUUGCACAAUGGGGGAAACCCUGAUGCAGCCAUGCCGCGUGUGUGAAGAAGGCCUUCGGGUUGUAAAGCACUUUCAGUUGUGAGGAAGGCAUAUACGUUAAUAGCGUAUGUGUUUGACGUUAGCAACAGAAGAAGCACCGGCUAACUCCGUGCCAGCAGCCGCGGUAAUACGGAGGGUGCGAGCGUUAAUCGGAAUUACUGGGCGUAAAGCGCAUGCAGGCGGCUUGUUAAGCCAGAUGUGAAAGCCCGGGGCUCAACCUCGGAAUAGCAUUUGGAACUGGCAGGCUAGAGUCUUGUAGAGGGGGGUAGAAUUUCAGGUGUAGCGGUGAAAUGCGUAGAGAUCUGAAGGAAUACCGGUGGCGAAGGCGGCCCCCUGGACAAAGACUGACGCUCAGAUGCGAAAGCGUGGGGAGCAAACAGGAUUAGAUACCCUGAUAGUCCACGCCGUAAACGAUGUCUACUUGGAGGUUGGAACCUUGAGCUCUGGCUUUUCGGAGCUAACGCAUUAAGUAGACCGCCUGGGGAGUACGGUCGCAAAGAUUAAAACU
RNAcentral lists this ribosomal RNA (902 nucleotides) under uncultured Gammaproteobacteria bacterium. RNAcentral's name for it is "bacterial SSU rRNA". It matches the Rfam family "Bacterial small subunit ribosomal RNA", at positions 22 to 901 of the family's 1533-position model. The record is from RNAcentral. Lineage: Bacteria; Pseudomonadati; Pseudomonadota; Gammaproteobacteria.